CCUAGUACGAGAGGACCGGAGUGGACGCAUCACUGGUGUUCGGGUUGUCAUGCCAAUGGCACUGCCCGGUAGCUAAAUGCGGAAGAGAUAAGUGCUGAAAGCAUCUAAGCACGAAACUUGCCCCGAGAUGAGUUCUCCCUGAGACUUUAGGUCUCCUGAAGGAACGUUGAAGACGACGACGUUGAUAGGCCGGGUGUGUAAGCGCAGCGAUGCGUUGAGCUAACCGGUACUAAUGAACCGUGAGGCUUAACCUU
RNAcentral lists this ribosomal RNA (254 nucleotides) under Salmonella enterica. RNAcentral's name for it is "partial 23S ribosomal RNA". It matches the Rfam family "Bacterial large subunit ribosomal RNA", at positions 2677 to 2925 of the family's 2925-position model. The record is from RNAcentral. Lineage: Bacteria; Pseudomonadati; Pseudomonadota; Gammaproteobacteria; Enterobacterales; Enterobacteriaceae.